Molecule: unclassified non-coding RNA, 406 nt
Filed under: fungal sp.
Lineage: Eukaryota; Fungi
Description: partial internal transcribed spacer region
Rfam family: Eukaryotic small subunit ribosomal RNA (bases 1-46)
Source: RNAcentral
AAGUCGUAACAAGGUUUCCGUAGGUGAACCUGCGGAAGGAUCAUUAACACGUGUUUCACACGUAUUAACGAAAACGCGAACUGUUAUGUAUUCCGAAAGUUAAUUGUGGGCGCAGAGAGGGAAAUGAUGUGAUCCAUUAAAUUGGGUCUUUACCUCAAUGCUACCUUGGUCCGACCAAGAACCCAUGGUUAACAUUUCGUAGAUAACUAUUUCGACCGCUUAUUAAGCCUGCAUCAUAGCUUGCGUGUCGAGGUGAAUACUAUUAACCCUUUUCUUUGUAUUUAAUCUCUAAUUUUGUAUGUCUUUAUGGAUUCCUGACUUUUUAAAACGAGGUCGGUUGAGUCUAUUUAGAUGUCGUAUAUUUAUAAUACGAAAACAACUCUUAGCAACGGAUAUCUUGGUUCUC